AUUGAACGCUGGCGGCAGGCCUAACACAUGCAAGUCGGGCGAGCCGCGGACGAGUGAGUAAUGUAUGGGGACUCCCUGAUGGAGGGGGAUAACUUCUGGAAACGGUAGCUAAUACCGCAUACCAUCAGAGACCCCAUAUGGGAUUAGCUAGUAGGUGAGGUAACGGCUCACCUAGGCGACGACCUCUAGCUGGUCUGAGAGGAUGAUCAGCCAAACUGGGACUGAGACACGGCCCAGACUCCUACGGAGGCAGCAGUGGGGAAUAGUGCACAAUGGGCGCAAGCCUGAGGCAGCCAUGCCGCGUGUAUGAAGAAGGCCUUCGGGUUGUAAAGUACUUUCAGUCGGGAGGCGUUACCGACAGAAGAAGCACCGGCUAACUCCGUGCCAGCCGCCGCGGUAAUUC
This 403-nucleotide ribosomal RNA is filed under the name uncultured bacterium. RNAcentral's name for it is "partial 16S ribosomal RNA". It matches the Rfam family "Bacterial small subunit ribosomal RNA", at positions 30 to 526 of the family's 1533-position model. The record is from RNAcentral.